CCUACGGGAGGCAGCAGUGAGGAAUAUUGGUCAAUGGCCGAGAGCCUGAACCAGCCAAGUCGCGUGAGGGAAGACGGCCCUACGGGUUGUAAACCUCUUUUGUCGGGGAGCAAAGCGCACCACGUGUGGUUCUUUGCGAGUACCCUAAGAAAAAGCAUCGGCUAACUCCGUGCCAGCAGCCGCGGUAAUACGGAGGAUUCGAGCGUUAUCCGGAUUUAUUGGGUUUAAAGGGUGCGCAGGCGGAGGUGCAAGUCAGCGGUAAAAUUUCGGGGCUCAACCCCGUACUGCCGUUGAAACUGCAGUCCUUGAGUGCGCGAGAAGUAGGCGGAAUGCGUGGUGUAGCGGUGAAAUGCAUAGAUAUCACGCAGAACUCCGAUUGCGAAGGCAGCAUACCGGCGCGCAACUGACGCUGAUGCACGAAAGCGUGGGUAUCGAACAGGAUCAGAUACCCUGGUAGUC
RNAcentral lists this ribosomal RNA (459 nucleotides) under uncultured bacterium. RNAcentral describes it as "partial 16S ribosomal RNA". It matches the Rfam family "Bacterial small subunit ribosomal RNA", at positions 338 to 795 of the family's 1533-position model. The record is from RNAcentral.